RNAcentral lists this ribosomal RNA (398 nucleotides) under uncultured bacterium. RNAcentral describes it as "bacterial SSU rRNA". It matches the Rfam family "Bacterial small subunit ribosomal RNA", at positions 355 to 776 of the family's 1533-position model. The record is from RNAcentral.
CCAGGAAUAUUGCGCAAUGGACGAAAGUCUGACGCAGCGACGCCGCGUGGAGGAUGAAGGCCUUAGGGUUGUAAACUCCUUUUGCUAAGCCGUUCACAGCUUAGAGAAUAAGCCCCUACUAACUACGUGCCAGAAGUCUCGGUAAUACGUAGGGGGCAAGCGUUAUCCGGAUUUAUUGGGCGUAAAGUGUGCGUAGGCUUUCCAUAAAGUCUACACUUAAAUACCAAGGCUUACCCUUGGAGCUGGUGUAGAUACUCAUGGAAUUGAGGAUUGAUCGGGGUGCUGGAACAGUUAAUGUAGCAGUGAAAUGCGUUGAUAUUAACUGGAACACCAAGGGCGAAGGCAGGCACCUGAAUUUUUCCUGACGCUGAGGCACGAAAGCUGGGGUAGCGAAACAG